GUCGCCAUAGCUCAACGGUAGAGCAGAAUACUGUUAAUAUUUUGAUAGAUGUUCGAGUCAUCUUGGGGACU
Dactylellina haptotyla CBS 200.50 is the source of this 71-nucleotide transfer RNA. It matches the Rfam family "tRNA". Rfam says of the family: Transfer RNA (tRNA) molecules are approximately 80 nucleotides in length. The record is from Rfam. NCBI's taxonomy places the organism in Eukaryota, Fungi, Ascomycota, Orbiliomycetes, Orbiliales, Orbiliaceae.